CCCACCCUCAUCCCGGCACGUGAUGACGUAGGACGUAAGGACGCCCCCCCCCGCCGGUAGCCAUCUUCGUGCAUAGGCAAACUUAUUGUAGCUAGACUGUACAAAGUAUAUCAAGAUAUGCCAAAUAUUGAGCUUAACUUCACCUGUUUGAGAGACGCUUGCAACACCAUGAAAAAAUUACUGAGACACUAGGAAUGCUGUGAACUGAGAAAGUUUGGGACCUUUGGCAUAACUAAAUCCUUCAUUUAACAGAUGGAGUCUCAGUCUGUCACUAAGGCUGGAGUGCAGUGGCGCGAUCUCGGCUCACUGCAACCUCCACCUCCCGGGUUCACGCGAUUCUCCAGCCUCAGCCUUCCACGUAGCUGGGACUACAGGUGCAUGCCACCACACCCAGUGUUGUGAACCACUUGUCAUGGGAUAACCAAAAUUAAACCUGGAAUCGCAGAAGAAACAAAUUUUUUGAAGAAAUUGGAUGUACUUUUUUAAAAUUUUUCAUUCAACUAAAACUUUGUUAACUGUUUCUUGGUUGUGGUCUUCUCUAAAUUGUAAUCUUUGGCAUUCACUUCCAAAGUAUCCACCACUAAACUUCAUAACAUUUAUUGUGUCUCUUCAUCAUUAAACUUUGAUGAAUUUACAGAGUGUCUUUUGAAAUUAUGUUCUUGAGAAAGGUGCACAUCAUGGAGACAAUCUGACUGGUACAGAGAAAUGAAGAGACAACAUUUUCUUUCCAAAUCUGAGUGGAGAUGAUAGAAGAGGCCCUGGUUAGCAGCUUCAGAUGAUGGAUACAUAAAAAUGGGAGAGAGAAAACAUAUAAGAGUGACUAAUUGUUGAGUUUCCAGGGCUCAAACCAAUCUUGAAUUGGAAUUUCAAGACAUAAAAACCACUGCAGGAACCUGCUGGAGAAACGGCCUCUGGUAUCUCUAUCUGAAAUAUGAUUAUCUUAAGUUCGCAAAGCAUUGUGUCUGCAGUGUGAGUUUGAAAACAACAAUGUUAAGGCAACUUCGCAGCUUCUUAAUCAAGCCCUUCUCCAUCUCUCCGUGUGGUUUUUGGGGUGGUGGAGGUGGAGCCAAAAAAGAGAGGGCAGUUUCCCAGGGCUGAAGAUGCUACCAUGACUCAUAGGAUCUAUGCAAACCCUGUGAGUGAAUUCUGAGGAAGAAGAAUGAGUAAUAUUUUGAUUUUAUUACUGAUGGUAAUAAGAUAGUAUCAUCAGUGUGGUAUAUUCUGAUUACUGAAUUCUAUUCCCUAUUUUCUUCCUGUGGCCAAAUAAAAUUUGUGUGUGUAAGCUAUGAUAUUUAGUGUUGUUAUCUGAUGAGACAGGUUUAGUGGAAAAGUUCAUUUUAAAUAAACAUUAAAAUUGUUUCAGCCUCAGAUUUUUAAUCCAAAUCAUUCCUUUGACACCAGAAGAAUUUUCCUCAGAGUCAACUCCAAAGAUAAAGCUGCCUGUUUUCCUAUUUGCCCAGAAGUAAAGAGGUUGCAAAA
This 1479-nucleotide long non-coding RNA is filed under the name Homo sapiens (human). RNAcentral describes it as "HSALNT0119266". Lineage: Eukaryota; Metazoa; Chordata; Mammalia; Primates; Hominidae. The record is from RNAcentral.